Non-coding RNA from Poecilia reticulata (guppy), 456 nucleotides. NCBI's taxonomy places the organism in Eukaryota, Metazoa, Chordata, Actinopteri, Cyprinodontiformes, Poeciliidae. The record is from RefSeq and is a predicted model, not a curated record.
CCAAAAAGUAGAAAAGUAGAGAAUUACAAUGGUCUAAACGAGAUGUGACCAAACUGUGGACCAGAACAGCAGUGGAGUGYGGAGUGAGAGAAGGACGGAGACGGCGAAUAUUUCGGAGAUGAAAAUAAGCUGACCGAGUGAUAUUAUUGACAUGGGAGGCAAAAGAGAGGGUGCUAUYGAGGAUGACACCCAGACUCUUAACCUGAGGGGAGGGAAAAAUGGAGGAGUUAUCAACUGAAAUGGAGAAAUUAUCAAGUUUACUUAGUAUUGAAUUAGUACCAAUUAAGAGAAGUUCAGUUUUACUGGAAUUUAAUUUGAGGAAGUCAAGAGUAAACCAUUGUUUUAUUUCAAGAAGACAGUCAGUGAGGGAGGAAAAUGGAAGCAUGGAAUUAGGUUUGGUUGAAACAUAGAGUUGGGUGUCAUCCGCGUAGCAGUGAAACUGGAUGUUAUGUUUGC